This is a long non-coding RNA of Hipposideros armiger (great roundleaf bat), 461 nucleotides long. RefSeq lists it as uncharacterized. The record is from RefSeq and is a predicted model, not a curated record. NCBI's taxonomy places the organism in Eukaryota, Metazoa, Chordata, Mammalia, Chiroptera, Hipposideridae. The transcript has 4 exons.
GAGAUGAGGGUCUCGUGGGGACACAGAUUCAUGACCUUGUAUUUUCUUUAUUAUGCUAUAGUUGGCACGGAAGCACCAUGGGCACACAAAGGAGGAAGAGGAGGGGAGAGAGGGAGAAGGGAAAUAUCUGCGCAGGAUAGAAGAUGACCUUUCUGCUGGGUCUUAACAAUGAGGAGCUUGUCACACGGAGAAGCAGGGAAGAGCAUUUGAGGCAGAAGGAACAGCACUUACAAAGCCCAAGAGGCCCAGAGGAUGUGUUGCAAUCUGGAGAUGGUUACUCUCGGAGGGAAAGACUAUGGAUUAUGCUUGGUGCCCUGCCUCCCAGCAGCCUCACUCAGCUUUCAGGCCUUGUGGAAGAUCCUUGGUUGUCCCUUCACAUUUAGGACAGAAGAAAAGGGAAACCAUCCUUUGUAAGAAGGAAAUGCCAGAAAGUGAGCUUCAUAAUUCCUCGUUCAUAGAAG